AUGGCCCGGCUUACAUUAUUCAUCCCCUGCUGCGUUUCACGGACAGAUAGGCGGGGCAGCCCCUCCAGCUCCCCCAUGGCCCGGCUUACAUUAUUCAUCCCCUGCUGCGUUUCACGGACAGAUAGGCAGGGCAGCCCCUCCAGCUCCCCCAUGGCCCGGCUUACAUUAUUCAUCCCCUGCUGCGUUUCACGGGUGUUUGGUUACAGGAAGGAUCACGUUUUGCUGCCAGCGCUACCGAUCCAGGCCCCAGCAGCUCCUUCCCCGCACAGGGCUGCAUGGUUGGGGAGGCCCCUCUCCCCAGGUGGAAUCGGGGCUAAUCGCCUGCCCUGGGUGGCCCGAUCAGGGCAGAACUGCACGAGUCAUCUUUGCACCUUGUCUAGCAUCCUGCAUGUAAGGAAAUCCAACACAUGUGUGUUGGUUGAGUGAAAGAUUAACUUGAAAGUGUACAUUCAGGUAAAUGCACGCUUUCCCACUUGGAAGAUGUGGUUAUGUUUUGAAUCAGACUUAGCUGGUUUAUAUCUUGUUUCUCCCAUUAGCCACCUAUUUGACAUUGAAAAAAGUUACUGAAUUCUGUGUGCUUCUGUUUCAUCAUCUGUGAAAUGGGUGCCACAUGGCAAGGCUGAGAUGAGGCAGAAUGUGAAAGUGGCAGCCACAGGGUGAGGCAUACAGUAGGUGCUCCAUCCAUGCUCGUCCCGUCUCCCAGACCAGCCACAGGGUGAGGCAUACAGUAGGUGCUCCAUCCAUGCUCGUCCCGUCUCCCAGACCAGCCACAGGGUGAGGCAUACAGUAGGUGCUCCAUCCAUGCUCGUCCCGUCUCCCAGACCAGCCACAGGGUGAGACAUACAGUAGACGCUCCAUCCACACCCGUCCCAUCUCCCAGACCAGCCACUGCGUGAGGCAUACAGUAGGCGCUCCAUCCACGCUCGUCCCGCCUCCCAGACCCCGAUUUGCCCGAAGCAUUCUGAAGGGUGUGGGAAACUUAGGAGUCUCUGUUGUUUCUGGGGCAACACUGGGGCUGUGAAAGGAAAAUAAAAUCUGGGGACUCCAAUUCACUGCCAAGGGAAACCCUUAAAGCUAGAAGCUGAGCCCCGUGAGGAGCAGCGCAGGGAGCUGCCCAGCAAAGGCUCAGUUCUCCACUGGCAGCUGCUCUACGUCCCCUGGCCUUGUGCAAAGUCUGACUUUCUGAGCCCAGGACGAAUGCAUCAUUCACCAUUGUCCUGCCUGUUCCUUCCUCCUGCAACACGUGGGUUCAGUCAGGCAACCAAACCUCCCUCUUUCUCCUCCAGCCUGCAUUUCCCCUUUAAAGUAUCGAAACCCUCAAAAUCAUCUUGGAGAAAGGCACAGAGCUGUCUCCCGGGCAUGCCCUUAACCUUGCAAAUGAACUUAAUGGAUUGAGGCCUGUGUGUCAUGCUUUCUGGUUUACAGGACCCAUGUUGGUGCGGAGGAAGUCAAGGUAGGAAACCUCGGGUUCUUUCAAAAUUGUCCUCUAAGCAGGAAGGAAUCUGGAACUGGGAAGGACAGCAGGCAUGUUUUCUAGCAGUUCUAACGAAUUAUCUUCUUACUGUCAAUAACAAUUUAUCUAGUCUCUAAUUAUCUUCAGUCCAGCGGAAGACAGAUUUCCUCAUCUCCUAACUGCCUCUUGGAAGAGCUAAAGUAAGUUAAAUUUUAAAAAUACCCUGAUCCCAGGCGACUGCCCCUGCUGAGCUGAUCUCGGCUUGCAGGAGAGGCGCUGUGGGCCACCAGCUUGCGCCCUGCGGCGGGAGGGGCUCCAGUGGCCGGAUUCUAGCCAGUGUCCCUGCCCUGCAGUUAAGCACAGGGGCUUUGGGGGUCUGUCAUGCGCCACAACAAUCAACCUCCUGGAGCCUCAGUUUCUCGUCUUUGAAGGGGGAUCAUACCGAAAUUGUUCAGGGAUGGCUUCGGUUUCCGUUACUGAAGCUAAGGCCCGAGGUCCCGGCUCUCAGCACGUUUUGCUCAUGUAGCCCUCGAA
This 1987-nucleotide long non-coding RNA is filed under the name Macaca mulatta (Rhesus monkey). RNAcentral describes it as "lncRNA (ENSMMUG00000049878.1)". The record is from RNAcentral. Lineage: Eukaryota; Metazoa; Chordata; Mammalia; Primates; Cercopithecidae.